CUAUUUAUUGUUACGCUUCAGCCUCGGAAAAUAUUUGUUUAUUCAGAGAUGGUCUUUCAACCCUGGAGUUUUUGACUGCACUACAGCAACACCCUACUUUGCUGGCCCCUGUCAUGUGCCACUCUGAAAGGCGACUCACUGCUUUUGAACUUGAGAGACUCUUCAAACCUGACCUCAGUCCUUCGGGGAGUAAUCGAAGACUUAAAGAAAGUCAAACCAUGGCCUACUGGGCAGACUAUCUCCUUGAUUGUGAAGAAGGCCAGGCUGCUGUGUCUGUGGAAGAUGUUUUGAUGUUUGCUACUGGGCUGUCUUCACUUCCCCCAUCUGGCUUGGAACCACUGCCUCAAAUAGAGUUCCUGGAGGACUCUGCGUUCCCAAUGGCAAAUACAUGUUCAAACUCCUUGAGAUUACCACUCCUAGACUCAUACACUUUGUUUAAGUCACAAAUGGACUUUGGAAUUCAAAAUAGUCCAGGAUUCGGCUGUUUCUAAGCUAUAUGAUGGAUGACCCCUAGAGUUAAGACUCUGAAAAAGUUGUUGUUGUUAAAGGUUAGGGUUGGGCAUCAUUUAGAUUUUAACGAUUCUGAUUCCAAUUCCGAUUCUUCCUUUUGAUUCCGGUUCUUAUCGAUUCUCGAUUCCGAUUCUUUGAGUGGUGGAGUUGAAACGGGUCACAUGCUUAUUUCACAAAUAAGAGGAAAGUUUUAUUUUGAUUCAAAGGUGGGUUGCAGUUUGAUGGGGCUUUUUCAAUGUAAAAUAAAGCCACACUAGAGCACCGCUUACUGUGCUCCAUGGCUGCAACACAACAAGCACCUGGCCGCUACAGACCAAAACUUGCGCAUGUUAAAUUUGGAACCCAUGAUCAGAUUUGAAACCCAAUCCUCCAAAACGAUUCCAAUAAAGAAACAAUUCCGAUGGAAUCGUAAUUGUUUUAAACUAUUCCAAGUAGGAAUUGGUUCUUGAUGCCCAACCCUAUUAAAGGUGCACUUUUAAAGUGCAGUUGCCAAAGUUGUUUUUAUAAUGUUACUGUAUGUGAGCAUGUUCUUUUCUCACAGUAAACAUUUUGAAAAUGUUUUAGAUCCAUUACUCUCAAUACUACAAAAGUGUAAUAAAUACUGAUUACUA
Molecule: long non-coding RNA, 1121 nt
Organism: Coregonus clupeaformis (lake whitefish)
Lineage: Eukaryota; Metazoa; Chordata; Actinopteri; Salmoniformes; Salmonidae
Exons: 3
Source: RefSeq, a predicted model, not a curated record